This 70-nucleotide transfer RNA is filed under the name Dipodomys ordii (Ord's kangaroo rat). It matches the Rfam family "tRNA". Rfam says of the family: Transfer RNA (tRNA) molecules are approximately 80 nucleotides in length. Their secondary structure includes four short double-helical elements and three loops (D, anti-codon, and T loops). Further hydrogen bonds mediate the characteristic L-shaped molecular structure. tRNAs have two regions of fundamental functional importance: the anti-codon, which is responsible for specific mRNA codon recognition, and the 3' end, to which the tRNAs corresponding amino acid is attached (by aminoacyl-tRNA synthetases). tRNAs cope with the degeneracy of the genetic code in two manners: having more than one tRNA (with a specific anti-codon) for a particular amino acid; and 'wobble' base-pairing, i.e. permitting non-standard base-pairing at the 3rd anti-codon position. Lineage: Eukaryota; Metazoa; Chordata; Mammalia; Rodentia; Heteromyidae. The record is from Rfam by way of RNAcentral.
GGUAAGAUGGCUCAGUGGUAGAGAGCUUGCCUUGCAUGCAUGAGGCCCUGAGUUCGAUUCCUCAGUACCA